GACGAACGCUGGCGGCGUGCUUAACACAUGCAAGUCGAACGGUGAAGCGCCUUCCUUUUUGGUGGGUGUGGAUGAGUGGCGAACGGGUGAGUAACACGUGAGUAACCUGCCCCCUUCUUCUGGAUAACCGCAUGAAAGUGUGGCUAAUACGGGAUAUUCUGGGUCUGUCGCAUGAUGGGUCUGGGAAAGAUAUUGUUUCGGUGGGGGAUGGGCUCGCGGCCUAUCAGCUUGUUGGUGGGGUGAUGGCCUACCAAGGCGGUGACGGGUAGCCGGCCUGAGAGGGUGGACGGUCACACUGGGACUGAGACACGGCCCAGACUCCUACGAGGGGCAGCAGUGGGGAAUAUUGCACAAUGGGCGCAAGCCUGAUGCAGCGACGCCGCGUGAGGGAUGGAGGCCUUCGGGUUGUGAACCUCUUUCGCCAGUGAAGCAGACCUGCCUCGUUUGUGGGUGGGUUGACGGUAGCUGGAUAAGAAGCGCCGGCUAACUACGUG
This 494-nucleotide ribosomal RNA is filed under the name uncultured bacterium. RNAcentral describes it as "partial 16S ribosomal RNA". It matches the Rfam family "Bacterial small subunit ribosomal RNA", at positions 28 to 507 of the family's 1533-position model. The record is from RNAcentral.